GUUUUCAAUGAGCUAGUGUACAUGUACGAGUUCAUCUUGUUGGGUUUUUGGGUUUCUGGGCUCAUAGCUUUUCUUUUGUCAUUUUAAAAGUAACUAACAAGCAAACUGUUUCUUUGCUUCAAAAAAAAAAACACAUCAGAGAAAAUCAAUGGACUACCAAUGCAAUGUAAAUUUGUAAAUAGUUAUUGUAAAUUUGUAAAAACUUUUUAAGAAAUAGUUAUUGUAAAUUUGUAAUACCAAUGCAAUGGAAAAUCAGAAAUUAUAAUUUAAAAUGUUUAGAAUUGCUGCAUCAAUAAACAAGAUACCUUGCAAAAUUUGAAAGAGUGUGUUCUCGUACAUCAUUCCCUCUUUUGAAAAAUAAACUUUUUGGUUUCUUGACAAAGUCAUGUAAACAACGAACUGUAUCAUUCGAUAACUGUAUACAUUAUACAAUAUGUGAAACAACAUAGAAAAAUCAGAAUCCUCAGUGUAAGAUCUUGGGAAUAUGUUUAGAAAUGAAACUAUGAGUGAAACUAGAGGAAAUAGAAAAUGGUGGAAUCAAG
This 542-nucleotide long non-coding RNA is filed under the name Zostera marina. Its description in RNAcentral is "long non-coding RNA (ZMAR_LNC001585)". The record is from RNAcentral. Lineage: Eukaryota; Viridiplantae; Streptophyta; Magnoliopsida; Alismatales; Zosteraceae.